UACGAAGGGGGCUAGCGUUGUUCGGAUUUACUGGGCGUAAAGCGCGCGUAGGCGGAUCGUUAAGUCGGGGGUGAAAUCCUGGAGCUCAACUCCAGAACUGCCUUCGAUACUGGCGAUCUAGAGUCCGGAAGAGGUGAGUGGAACUCCUAGUGUAGAGGUGAAAUUCGUAGAUAUUAGGAAGAACACCAGUGGCGAAGGCGGCUCACUGGUCCGGAACUGACGCUGAGGUGCGAAAGCGUGGGGAGCAAACAGG
Molecule: ribosomal RNA, 253 nt
Filed under: uncultured bacterium
Lineage: Bacteria
Description: partial 16S ribosomal RNA
Rfam family: Bacterial small subunit ribosomal RNA
Source: RNAcentral